Molecule: ribosomal RNA, 332 nt
Filed under: uncultured eukaryote
Lineage: Eukaryota
Description: partial 18S ribosomal RNA
Rfam family: Eukaryotic small subunit ribosomal RNA
Source: RNAcentral
CCCUUAGAUGUCCUGGGCUGCACGCGCGCUACACUGGAAGUUACGGAUUGAGAUACUACCUUGUCCGAAAUGGUCCGGGUAAUCACCUAAAAGCUUGUCAUAAUUGGAAUGGAUUAUUGUAACUAGUAAUCCUGAACGAGGAAUUCCUAGUAAGUCCCAGUCAACAGCUGAUACUGAUUACGUCCCUGCCCUUUGUACACACCGCCCGUCGCUACUACUGAUUGGACGUUUAAGCAAGAUUUUUAAACACUGACAGUGUGUAGUUCACGCUAUACUACAGUGAGAAGAAGAAGAUCGAGCUUACUUGUCUAGAGGAAGUAAAAGUCGUAACA